CGCGCCUCACACAAAGGCGGCGGUUGGGCGGGAGGCGCAUGCGCAGGGAGGGGUUGGCGCACCCACGUGGUGCUGGGUGAGUUCUACAGCUUCUCCAGCCAUUCUAUUUCUGCACACUAGUUGGUUUUGUUGUCAUCUUUUUUGCAAGAUCAUCUCCUUUAGAGGCUUAUUGUGGAGACUGAAAAUUCUGCAGAACGUGGUGUUUCUAUUUGGAGGACAGUUCUACAUCCAGUUACUUAAUCUGAAAAGGAACAGCAGGAUAAAUAAUCACAGAGGGGAUUUGAAGUGUUGAUGUAGAAUUAUGAGGAUCAAAAAAAGAAAUGGGAAGAUGGUAUCUACCCUGGGAGUCUGGAGAUGCUCAUGCUCUUGAGUUUUGUUGCAACACAGAAAUAAAGGGUGCAUGUUGUGGUUCUGCUCCUGACACAGCUCUUUUGCCAUGCAGGAAGCCUCUGAGGAAGGCUGCCUUUCUAAAGAUUAGAUCCAAGUUGAUGGAAGUAAUCCCAGCUGACUUGGGCAGCGCUAGGUCAGACCAUAAACCAGUUGCCCUGCAGCUAACUGAAAAACAUGGCUUCAAUGUGAGAAGUAACUGAAGCACACAUUGGCAGUGGGUGGCAGAAGGGCCCAAGGUUUCAAAAGCAAACUGCAUGGGACCGCUGAAGAAACAGUCCAUUGAAAACCCACCUCAUGUAAGUUUUAGGCAAAGGUGGUCUCCAGCCCUUUCAAGCAGAAUUUCAAGUUGCUGAGCUCAUCCUCCAGCACCACUUGGUACUACUCAGGGUAGCACUUCCAUUGCCAGGAUCCAGCUCAGUAGAACAGUCCAUCUUUGCUCUCAUCAUUUGGCCCAAGCACACCUCAGCACCCAGCAAGUUCCCUCAUUCCUACUGAAGAGAUGGGAAUCCAGUGUUCAUCCUGAGUACCCUGCUACACCUUCUGCUUCCGUUUCCAUUUGCAAGAAGUGUUUGCUGCUUCUGUGGAAUUUAUUAAAGAUUUCUUUAAUAAAACUACUGUUG
This 1010-nucleotide long non-coding RNA is filed under the name Gallus gallus (chicken). Lineage: Eukaryota; Metazoa; Chordata; Aves; Galliformes; Phasianidae. The record is from RNAcentral.